This is a long non-coding RNA of Bactrocera dorsalis (oriental fruit fly), 3346 nucleotides long. RefSeq lists it as uncharacterized. The transcript has 5 exons. The record is from RefSeq and is a predicted model, not a curated record. Lineage: Eukaryota; Metazoa; Arthropoda; Insecta; Diptera; Tephritidae.
UCAAUUUGGUUAAGGUUUUGGGUAUAAAGCGUAUCUAGGAUAGACAGGGAGCAAAAUACUUGAAAAAUUUUGAAAAAUUACGUCUAGUAAAAAUUACAGGAAUACUUGACAACGUAGCUGAGAGCCCUUUAUUCAUCGAACAUAUCCUUACUGGUUACGAGACGUGGGUUUAUGGAUAUACAACCAAACUGUUCAACAACCUAACGCUCCCAAAAUGGCUCAGGCACCCACUUGGAAGGCUAUGAUUAACAUAACUCAUCAAUCGUUAAGAUUUUUUUUUUAAUAUGUGAAAAUAUUUUGUUUUCGGCUUGGGUCAAAUUUGAUCAGUUGGUAAUUUGACACACAAACAGCUCUCAUUUACCGAAUAUUUUGACUUCUAACGGCAGCGUAUCUAAUAUUCGCGACUGUGCGGCUAUUUCCAAACUUAGCGCUGCCUUACUUAUUUUUGAAUUUUCUUCUUCUUUAUUGGCGUAGAAAUUUACUUUUCUGAAUACACAACGUGUGUUUUCAACCAAAUUGCCACCUCUUGUGCGGUGGAGUGUGAAACGGCGGCGAUAGUAGAAACGUGGAAGGUAGACAAAAGGUGUAAACAAAAUUUUAGCGCGUGUCGGCAAGGUAUUGUUGCUUUUGUUUUUGUAGAAUUUCAUUAUGCUUUGCUGCGCUGUUAUUCGAAUUUGUUGUUAAAUGUUGUUGGAAUACAAAUCAGCAGAAAAUGACGGGAAAUCUUAAUUGUAAUAAAUAAAUAAUAACCAGUGUAUAUAAAAAUGGAUUUCGAAGCGCAAUUCUGCAAUAACAACUACACAAAAGUGCACACAUAAACAUAUGUUUAUAAAUACAGACACCUAAAAGCGCAUGCAAGCAAAAACAAUGCCACACACAAACAAAUGGUUAAUAUGCAAAUUAUGAAAGAAAAUGGAAAAGGAAAACGAAAUUGAAAUUGGAUUUCGCAAUACUUUGGAGAAUGUUAUGAAAUACGAUUUGAAAGCGACUUCGCAGAAUGCGCGCUGUGUGGGUGAGGGGUGUUUACUGGGCAGACGCUUGUGGGGAUAAAUUUUUGAUUAUACAUGCUUUUCUGUAUAUUUGUCUGCAUGUAUGUGCAUUACAUAUAAGCAUGCAUUCCAUAUUUAUAUUCAUAACUAUUUCCAUAAUGUUUUCAAAUAUUAAUUUAUUUAUCUAAAAUUUUCUCUGUAAGUUUAUUCAAUAAAGCGAGUGAAAUUUUAUUGCUGCCCACUAAAUGAAGUGCGCAAAUUUUGCACGCUAUGAGCCCCAAUGCAUGCUGCCGCCAACAUGCAAGCAAAAUUAAAUGUCAGCCAGCAAUUCAUAUUAAUAUACAAUUAAUUAUUGGAAUGCAGUAUAAACAAAUGAUGAAUAGAAAAAGUUAUCUUCGUCUGGGUAUAUUUCAUACAGAAUGAGGGGGCAUAAAAUGAUCACUCUAACGUUGUGAUGUGAUGUAGCUUACCAGUCGCGAGGUGAUUUCGCGGGAAGCUGGCUGCCAGCUGGCGCUAUAAAAGAAAGGCAGGCACAGUGCCUGGCCAGUGCGUAGGCGACUUUCGCGCCGCGAUGUCAUGUAGUUUACCAGUCGCGAGGUCAUGUAGAUUAACAGUCACGAGGUGAUUUCGCGGGAAGCUAGCGCUAUAAAAGAAACGCAGGCACAGUGCCUGGCCAGUGCGUAGGAGACAUUCGCGCCGCGAUGUCAUGUAGUUUAACAGCCGUGAGGUCAUGUUGAUUAACAGUCACGAGGUGAUUUCGCGGGAAGCUGGCUGCCAGCUGGCGCUAUAAAAGAAACGCAGGCACAGUGCCUGGCCAUUGCUUCAGCGACUUUCGCGCCGCGAUGUUAUGUAGUUUAACAGCCGCGAGGUCAUGUAGAUUAACAGUCACGAGGUGAUUUCGCGGGAAGCUAGCGCUAUAAAAGAAACGCAGGCACAGUGCCUGGCCAGUGCGUAGGAGACAUUCGCGCCGCGAUGUCAUGUAGUUUAACAGCCGUGAGGUCAUGUUGAUUAACAGUCACGAGGUGAUUUCGCGGGAAGCUGGCUGCCAGCUGGCGCUAUAAAAGAAACGCAGGCACAGUGCCUGGCCAUUGCUUAAGCGACUUUCCCGCCGUGAUGUUAUGUAGUUUAACAGCCGCGAGGUCAUGUAGAUUAACAGUCACGAGGUGAUUUCGCGGGAAGCUGGCUGCCAGCUGGCGCUAUAAAAGAAACACAGGCACCGUGCCUGGCCAAUGCUUAGGUGACUGUCGCGCCGCGAUGUCAUGUGGUUUAACAGUCACGAGGUGAUUUCGCGGAAAGAAAAGACGUUUGCAAAAUUUCAGUUUGAUGUCUUUAUUACUAACCGACCUAAUAUAUACAAAUAUAUGUAUACAUAUGUAUGUGUAGGGUAUACAAAUGAAAUAAAUACAUAACUUUUCACUUAAUUUAAGGGUGAAACAUCGGCACUGAGUUAAUUAAAAUUGGCGCUUAUUUCAGGUCAUAGUCGGCUUGUCGCAGAGCAAAAAAUAGAAAAAAUCAUUUAUAUGUUUAUAGAAGUUUUCCCAUAGCAGCGCUUAAUCAACACGCUGAUAGGUUUUUAUGCCAUUUAUUUAUAGGUUGCAUGUUUAACUGAAUGCGAUCGUUAGCUUUAACCGCUUUAAGCCUGUACAUACAUACAUACAUACGUAUAUACAUAAGUAUGUUCAUGUGUAUUGACUCGUAUGUGCUUUCGCAAGUGCCGCUAACAAUACUCGAGCCUUAUUUGAAUGCCUUUCGCCAUUGACACAUUAGCAGUGAAUUUGCUGAUUCGAUGGAAUUUAUUUAUUUUGCUUUUUUGCAGCCAUUUACCUUGACUUUGUAAUGUACAGUUAUUCAUAUUGAUUUCCUACAUUGAACUUUCGUGUCAUCGUUUAAUUGUUGAAGCACUAAAUGAAAGGGAAUUUCUAGGAAAUAUUUAUUCGGGCAAAGACAAUGAGCAACGUUAGGGGAAAACUAGUAAAAGGGUCCAGCUGUAUACAUAUAUACAGCGCUCUAUGUAAUAAUUAUUAUUGUAGCGGUAGAAAACAUUCCAAAAGGAAUUUCGAGCUAUAGUGCCGUGUUAACAGUUCUUGACCGGAUAAAAAUCCGGAUACGUUCCGUUUACUUAAUGCCGACUGCCGUGGGAACGGGAUUCAAUGCGAGGGGAAUGCUUUAAGGGGGUCCGUCUAUCCAACUAACAUAGAAUAUGCGACUGAUUGGCACUAUAAAUUAAGAAAAGUCUACAAAAAAUAUUUUAAAAUUUUUAUAGCUGUUUCGGAUAGUGUCUGCUAGACCCUUAGCAAAUAUCGUAUUGUUUCGCCGAUUCAAUCCAAAGGUUUAAUUGUCAAAAUGUUUCGAUAAAA